ACACCCCUCUCCCGCUUAUCACUUUAUUUUUUGAUUUUAAUUGUAGAAUUUACUUUUUUUUUUUUUCCCCCCAGAUCCUGGAACAGAGCGAACUUGUGCAGAAAACAUUUGUGAACAUAACUGUACCAACCUGAAUGAAGGAGGCUUUAUCUGUUCCUGUAGGCCAGGGUACAAGGCCAGGGAAACUAACCGAAACUCCUGUGAUGAUAUCAAUGAAUGUGAGAUCUUUGGAACAUGCACCCAGGACUGCAAGAAUUCCAAAGGAAGCUAUGAAUGUUUCUGUGCAGAUGGCUUCAGGUCUGUGGGUGAUCAACAAGGGAAACAGUGCGCAGCUAAUGGUAAUCCUCCAUUGCUACUGCUGCCAGAUAAUGUGCGGAUUCGAAGAUACAAUAUCUCAUCAGAACAGUACUCUGACUAUAUUGAUAACCAGGAGCGCAUCCAAGCUCUGGAUUAUGACUGGGAUCCUGAAGGGAUAGGCCUGAGUGAGUAUGUGUAGAACAUUAAUACUCAACCAUGCAAUGGUUGGUUUAAAAAGAUGCAUUUCUGCAGCACAGGUAUUUUAUUUAGGCUAGAAAUCAAAAUCAAAUUAUGUUAACUGGCCAGGUCUUGGUUGAUUGUGUCCCUCCCCUCUACUCACUCUUCAGCAUC
RNAcentral lists this long non-coding RNA (648 nucleotides) under Strix occidentalis caurina (northern spotted owl). Its description in RNAcentral is "lncRNA (ENSSOCG00000016948.1)". The record is from RNAcentral. Lineage: Eukaryota; Metazoa; Chordata; Aves; Strigiformes; Strigidae.